UACGAGGGGGGCGAGCGUUGUUCGGAAUUAUUGGGCGUAAAGAGCUCGUAGGCGGUUUGUCGCGUCUGCUGUGAAAACCUAAGGCUCAACCUUGGGCUUGCAGUGGGUACGGGCAGACUAGAGUGCGGUAGGGGUGACUGGAAUUCCUGGUGUAGCGGUGAAAUGCGCAGAUAUCAGGAGGAACACCAAUGGCGAAGGCAGCUCGCUGGGACGGUACUGACGCUGAGGCGCGAAAGCGUGGGGAGCGAACAGG
RNAcentral lists this ribosomal RNA (253 nucleotides) under uncultured bacterium. RNAcentral describes it as "partial 16S ribosomal RNA". It matches the Rfam family "Bacterial small subunit ribosomal RNA", at positions 524 to 776 of the family's 1533-position model. The record is from RNAcentral.